Molecule: small RNA, 111 nt
Filed under: Epilithonimonas xixisoli
Lineage: Bacteria; Pseudomonadati; Bacteroidota; Flavobacteriia; Flavobacteriales; Weeksellaceae
Description: Chryseobacterium xixisoli Flavo-1 RNA
Rfam family: Flavo-1 RNA
Source: RNAcentral
GCGAAGCUGCGUAAGGGAUGGUAGUGGAAAUCCUUUUUGUCUUUUUGAAAUCGUCUUUCGUAAAUUUAGUGUGGGAAGACAAAAAGAUUGUAGCGGACAGCCCGACCCGAG